CAGUCGCCACGGUAAUACAGAGGGUGCGAGCGUUAAUCGGAUUUACUGGGCGUAAAGCGUGCGUAGGCGGCUUUUUAAGUCGGAUGUGAAAUCCCUGAGCUUAACUUAGGAAUUGCAUUCGAUACUGGGAAGCUAGAGUAUGGGAGAGGAUGGUAGAAUUCCAGGUGUAGCGGUGAAAUGCGUAGAGAUCUGGAGGAAUACCGAUGGCGAAGGCAGCCAUUUGGCCUAAUACUGACGCUGAGGUACGAAAGCAUGGGGAGCAAACAGGAUUAGAUACCCGAGUAGUCCCUGUCUCUUAUAC
RNAcentral lists this ribosomal RNA (301 nucleotides) under uncultured bacterium. RNAcentral's name for it is "partial 16S ribosomal RNA". It matches the Rfam family "Bacterial small subunit ribosomal RNA", at positions 509 to 807 of the family's 1533-position model. The record is from RNAcentral.